This 366-nucleotide ribosomal RNA is filed under the name uncultured eukaryote. RNAcentral's name for it is "partial 18S ribosomal RNA". It matches the Rfam family "Eukaryotic small subunit ribosomal RNA", at positions 592 to 976 of the family's 1831-position model. The record is from RNAcentral.
CAAUAGCGUAUAUUAAAGUUGUUGCAGUUAAAAAGCUCGUAGUUGAAUUUCUGGCGGGCGCGCCGGUCUUCCAAGUGUUGUACUGGGCGCAGUCCGCCAUCCUUGUGGAGAGGGCUCGCAUUGAGUUGCGUGUCGGAUCUGCAUCAUUUACUGUGAAAAAAUUAGAGUGUUUAAAGCAGGCUGUCGCUUGAAUACAUUAGCAUGGAAUAAUAAGAUAGGACUUCGGUCUAUUUUGUUGGUUGCGAACCGAGGUGAUGAUUAAUAGGGAUAGUUGGGGGUAUUCAUAUUUAAUUGUCAGAGGUGAAAUUCUUGGAUUUAUGAAAGAUGAACAACUGCGAAAGCAUUUACCAAGGAUGUUUUCAUUAA